UUUGGCAAGGCGACUAGAACGAUUGACGAGGCACUAGUUCGCAGGCACGACAUGUUCCGAAGUCCUUUUCCUAGAUUAAAAAGAAACAUGAGUGUGAGCCUCUGUAAUCAAAGCUCUCAAAGUUUGAUACGAGUCUGAGGGAUAUUAUUAUUUCUGUUCACAAACGUCACCUUAUGGGGUGGCAUAUCAUUUUGACUAACUAUUUUUCUUUCUAUUUGUGCGAGGUACAAAUAAAGUGAAGUAUGUGGUGCAAAAUUUAAAGAGGAAGUAAAGAAUCGGAUACUUAAAGCCUUAGAGAAUUGGAGCUUUGGAUGAAGACCUAGAAGAGCAUGGAUGACCUAUUCCCUUCAGACGAGCGGACAAAUGGAAUAGGAUUGCCGAAUGAUUUGGGCCCAAGGCCGAAAAAGAUUGGCGAAGCCCAAGACCUAAGUUAUGGUUAACUUGAGAAGCGACAAGGUACAGACACUCGGUUUGGUGAUCCUCCAGCUUAGGACUUCUGCUCAGCUAUUUGGAGAGCUCCAUUGUUCCGGAGCCUAGACUAUUUUGGUACAGAUCUUUUGAUGUAGAUCUAUGCAUAUCCAGGGGUACAACGGGGCCCUGUCCCGUCAUAUUUCACUUUUAUACUCUUGGAGGUCUCUAGACAUAUGUAGGUUGUAUAUGGGUUAUGGUCAGCUAUGUCGAUAUGGUUUGUUUUGGAUAUUCCUGUAUGUAGUGGCAGCCAUGUCGGCUUGCGUAUUGUAUUAUGCUUUAGUUAGCUGUGACUUCUCAGGAGACAGGUUUAUGAUAUGUGACGUUAUGAAUCUUUAGUUGCUUUUACAAGU
Long non-coding RNA from Lycium barbarum (goji berry), 821 nucleotides. RefSeq lists it as uncharacterized. The record is from RefSeq and is a predicted model, not a curated record. The transcript has 3 exons. Lineage: Eukaryota; Viridiplantae; Streptophyta; Magnoliopsida; Solanales; Solanaceae.